RNAcentral lists this non-coding RNA (83 nucleotides) under Gordonia amarae. The record is from RNAcentral. Lineage: Bacteria; Bacillati; Actinomycetota; Actinomycetes; Mycobacteriales; Gordoniaceae.
GGGAACCCGGUGCAAGUCCGGGACGGUCGCGCCACUGUGAACCAUACCGCCGCCACCAGCGGCGGAAUGGCAGUCAGAGCACC